CGGACCGGCGCACGGUGAGUAACGCGUAUGCAACCUACCUAUCAGAGGGGGAUAACCCGGCGAAAGUCGGACUAAUACCGCAUAAAACAGGGGUUCCACAUGGAAAUAUUUGUUAAAGAAUUAUCGCUGAUAGAUGGGCAUGCGUUCCAUUAGAUAGUUGGUGAGGUAACGGCUCACCAAGUCCACGAUGGAUAGGGGUUCUGAGAGGAAGGUCCCCCACACUGGUACUGAGACACGGACCAG
RNAcentral lists this ribosomal RNA (243 nucleotides) under uncultured bacterium. Its description in RNAcentral is "partial 16S ribosomal RNA". It matches the Rfam family "Bacterial small subunit ribosomal RNA", at positions 91 to 334 of the family's 1533-position model. The record is from RNAcentral.